CUGCGGUGGCUGUGCCCACGGGAGACCAGAAUCGGGUGGGAGUCAGCACCUGCCUGACCCGGCUGCAGCAUGCCAGACGCCGUCACCUGCUGCCUGGGCCCUGGAACCCUCCGCAAGAUACCAGCCAGGCCUCACGGCAGCCCUUGCUGGGCCCUGCAUUAACUCCCCCAGGCCUUGGACUCUGAGAGUUGGGACUCUCGUCUGGCCCAGGUGACAGAGGAGGAAACUGAGAAGCAGAGAGCCACGUGACUCACCUGUGGGUGGACUGUGGGAAUCGCCAAGCUCGGAUGAGAACCACGUGGGCAGUUCCAGGCCCGAGGCCGCCCACCCCGGGGGGAGAGGCUCCCCGGAGCAUCUGAGUCUGCAGCCCACUGGGGUGUCCGCCCGUGCAGCCACCAAGCCUGCUGGCCCUAGUACACCUCGCCACGCUCCCUCAGCCCGAGAGAGCCGGCCGGGCUGGCUGCAGCCCCAGAGGAGGUUCCCUCUCUUACCCAGAGGGGAGCAGGGUGAGCCGCGUGUCCACGGCACCCCCAGCCCAGAUCCCCGGAGCCCACAGGUACCUGUCGGGCGUCCUCCUCUUGCCGUUCUCGUUGACUUCCAGUAGCAGCUCUGAGGAGUCGAUGGGGGAGGAGGCGCUGGCGUCCAGCAGGAGCUGCUCAUGCUGGGCCAAGUACUGGGCGGGCGUCUGCUUGGCCAGGCGUGCACAGUGCAGGAGCUCCCGCUGCAGCAAGGGCAGGUUUGCCUGUGGGGUGGGGAAGGAGGGCCUGGGUAGCAUGCAGGGGUGCACAGCCCUGCUCAGGUCCGAGCAGAGGGGGCCUGGGCUGGGUGGCCGAAAGCUCAACUUGACCUCGGGCCUCAAAGGUCAAGGUGCUCGACCUCUCUGGGCCUCAAGUUCCUUCCUAGCAGUGCCAUGGGAGGGUGGCGUGGGAGGGUGGGCACAGAGCUUCGCAGGAGUGCCUCACCUGGGCCACACGGCGAUGUGGGGCAUGUGGGACUUGAGCCCAGAUCCUGGACUCCCAGGGUGGGGCUUUCCCACCGCACCCAGCUCCCUCCCAUGGCGUGGUCUGGAGAAGGCGAGAGGACGAAGGGGCAGCAGAUCAUGGUUGGUCUUCCCGCCUGCACCCGCCCUGCCCAGCAGGCACCACAUGACCCAACACAGCUGGGGAAAUGCAGGCUCAGAGAGGGGGAGGCAGCCCUGGGCCUACAGGCGGCUCACACGAGGGAGCUGGGAGUGAAACCCAGCUGGGAUUGCCUGCAGUGUGUCUGCUCCAGCCCUGAUGGGAAGCCCUGAGGUUCAGCUUCCCCUUCCCUUCCCGCUGGUUUCCAGCCUUGGCCUUGAUGGAGCGUGGACCUAGGACGUGGACACCCACGUUCUGUGGCUGCUCAAGUGAUCCUCCAGCCUUGGUGAGGACGGCCUCAAGACCCACGUGUGCGGGUAAAGACUCCGCAGCAUGCGGCCGAAGGACGGCCCGGUGUACGGGAUCCGUAUGCAGACCCUGCCUUUGACGCCUGUGUGUACCCGCGGCGCCCGCCGCCUCGUCCUUGGCUCCAGGCUGGCACUGCUGGGCCGCAAGCCGGGCUCCUCGGGUGCCUUCCCCAAAGUCUUCCCAGAGCUGCCGCGGGAGGGCGGACAGGCGUGCUGGACCCUGAGCAUGCUGGACCAGGGCCCAGCAGCAGGCCACUU
Molecule: long non-coding RNA, 1684 nt
Filed under: Homo sapiens (human)
Lineage: Eukaryota; Metazoa; Chordata; Mammalia; Primates; Hominidae
Description: long non-coding RNA NONHSAT144452.2
Source: RNAcentral